Non-coding RNA from Anolis sagrei ordinatus, 468 nucleotides. Lineage: Eukaryota; Metazoa; Chordata; Lepidosauria; Squamata; Anolidae. The record is from RefSeq and is a predicted model, not a curated record.
UGGAGCCGCAGCAUUCAACAGAUUCCAGAUAACCCAAAAGGCAACCCACUGAGCAAUUACAAGGUCCCUGCAUUUCACAAAAGCAGCGGACAGAAUAUCAAAAUGGGGUCUUUCAGGAAAAAACUUUGGCAGAGCCCCCUCUUCAAAGGUCCUGUGAUGUGGCCAUCUGUUUAUCCACCCUCAGGAAUUACUCUGAUGGAUCUGAAAAGCGAUGACAACUGUGCUCGGCCCAUCGCUGUGUCGGUGUGCUGCACGAAGGCAGGGAGACAGACGAGGCAUUUACAUAUCGUAACGCAAACCCAGCAGUGAGUUAAUUGAAGCCGGCAGAACAGAGCGAGGAAUUGGCAAGCAGAAGAUGCUUAUCACCCACAAUGCGCUCUCACAGAGGGACUGUUCAACUCUGGAAGAAGACUGUCGCAGGCCAGAGAUUUCUCAGCUUUCAGGUUCCUCAAGGACUGGGGAGACUCA